RNAcentral lists this small RNA (479 nucleotides) under Pan troglodytes (chimpanzee). RNAcentral's name for it is "processed transcript". The record is from RNAcentral. Lineage: Eukaryota; Metazoa; Chordata; Mammalia; Primates; Hominidae.
GAUGGAGGGCAAAGCCAAGUACAUCCUCCCUACCGAAACAAUAUAUGUUGGGGAAAUGAAGGAUGGCAUGUUUCACGGCGAAGGAACCCUGUACUUCCCCAGCGGAAGCCAAUACGACGCCAUUUGGGAAAACGGAUUGGCCAUAAAGGUAUGGCUCAACUCACCAAUAUGGACCCACCUAGAAAAAUCCCCAAGGGCUAUUACGAUUGUGGAGACGGCUUCUAUAACCCAGUCACGAGGGUAGUCAAGGACUAUAGGAACCGCUUUCUAAGAAACGCAGAUGAUGACGAGCAUGAGUGGAUCACCCGUACCUGUCGAAAGGGCUAGGACGAGAUCGUGGGUCACAGGCCCGAGCCGUGAACUCUGUGGCUGCCUCCACCAGAGGUUUCCAUCUGCCCUACUAGCAUUGGCUGCCCUGGGGGACGGGCUGUAGUUCUAGAACCUGAUUUUAACUCAGGAAUAAAGACUUUCUGCGGUCA